CGCGGCCUAUCAGCUUGUUGGUGGGGUUGUGGCCUACCAAGGCGACGACGGGUAGCCGGCCUGAGAGGGUGUCCGGCCACACUGGGACUGAGACACGGCCCAGACUCCUACGGGAGGCAGCAGUGGGGAAUCUUGCGCAAUGGGCGGAAGCCUGACGCAGCGACGCCGCGUGGGGGAUGAAGGCCUUCGGGUUGUAAACCUCUUUCAGCGGGGAAGAAGCGAAAGUGACGGUACCUGCAGAAGAAGCACCGGCUAACUACGUGCCAGCAGCCGCGGUAAUACGUAGGGUGCAAGCGUUGUCCGGAAUUAUUGGGCGUAAAGAGCUCGUAGGUGGCUUGUCACGUCGGGUGUGAAAUCCCGGGGCUUAACCCCGGGUCUGCAUUCGAUACGGGCUGGCUAGGGUCCUUCAGGGGAGACUGGAAUUCCUGGUGUAGCGGUGAAAUGCGCAGAUAUCAGGAGGAACACCGGUGGCGAAGGCGGGUCUCUGGGAAGGUACCGACGCUGAGGAGCGAAAGCAUGGGGAGCAAACAGGAUUAGAUACCCUGGUAGUCCAUGCCGUAAACGUUGGGCGCUAGGUGUGGGGAGCAUUCCACGUUCUCUGUGCCGUAGCUAACGCAUUAAGCGCCCCGCC
RNAcentral lists this ribosomal RNA (631 nucleotides) under uncultured bacterium. RNAcentral describes it as "bacterial SSU rRNA". It matches the Rfam family "Bacterial small subunit ribosomal RNA", at positions 232 to 873 of the family's 1533-position model. The record is from RNAcentral.